CGGUUGAAAAGGUAGUUGGAGGAUAAAUAAGGUAUGCGCUAGCCUUGUUCGCGUUUAGUGCGAACAAAUUCUCAGUAUGAUAAAAUAUGUUUCAUUAUUUGCGCCAGGGGCGAUGACCGAAGUCGAGGUUCUGAGGAAGGCUGUUGCCGAGGCUGAAGAAAAGGCAGCCGCGGAGCAGGCUCUUCAUGAGAAGCACGAGGCCAGGGUUAUUGAAGCUGAGCAGGAGCUUCAAGAGUCCAUGAAGAAAUGCGAGAACUUGAAGCAGAGUUUAACGGAGAAAGAAUCUAAACUCACCAGGGCUCAUCAGGCCGCGCGCGAUGCCCAGGUGGAAACCCAAGGCGCCCUGCUAGAGAUCCAAGAGGCGAGGACGAUCACGGCGGGUAUGGCUUUUUCCAUGUAAAGCAAGUAUAAGAUGAGAAAAUGAUGUUGCUAAUUUUGAGUUCAGAUUUCUCCGAGGGUAUUUGCAGGACUGCCCCGCAGCAUAUCGGAUGCCGCCCAAUUCUACCGAGCCAAAGAAGGGAACACUGCGUAUAUGCUCUUCUGGUCGCAGUAUCUGGCACCGAAUGAUCCGAUGCCUUUUGCUGACCAACUGAAACAGCUGAUCUAACUGCAUAGGGCGGCCGAACUAGCCAUGAAGGAUUUAAUUAUCCGGCUAUGGCCUGCCGAGCCGAUCCUAGGCAGCUACUUUGGGCUUGUGAAGCGGCUUGCGAGUGUCUGCCCUCGACUUGACGUCAUCAAGCGGUCGGUCUGCAUAGAGGGUGCGUGAAUGGCCUUCGCCCGCGCGAAGGUGCACUGGGGGAAGAUGGAUGCUAAAAAUCUGAUGACCGAGGGACCGCCAGAGGGGAAGGAGCACCGCAAGCCCGAAUUAUAUUAUGAAAGUGUCCUAAAGGGAUCCUGCCUAGCGGCAGAUCAAUGCACCAAGGACAUUAUAUUUCCAUGAAUACAAUCAUGUUGUCCUUUGUAAUGUUGAACAAGGUCAUUUAUAUUAUUUAUUUCCUGUUAUAUAAAAAUUUAUCCUCCUGCACGGCCGUUUUAUAUAUUAAUCUUGAGAGUUGGCCAGUCGUCGGCUUCUGCCCCCACGUAGGAAGUACGGGGGUGUUCGGGAUAAACCUGAUCACUCUUUAUCCCAGUUUUGGGUCCUUCGAAGGAGGUGGUCAGCACAACGAACCAGGCAAUCGGACUAUAGGGCUUUAUCACUCUCACUUAGCCAUAGGAGCUUUAGAAAAGUAAGGUAGGCGCAGCCCCUGGUGUUCGGAAGACCGCACGAGGGGCUAUAUAAGCGCCUGAUCAGAAGAAAGCCGAUCCAUCGCACGCUGCAUUGGUUAUGGAAUUAUGCGGAAAAAUCCUUCAAGAUUUUACAAUCUCUCGAAUAGCUGACCAGCUCUCGCCGCAUCAUGACAGUCAGUUUUCGGCUUUCUCUACUGAGGUGCUCAUCUAGAAGAACCGGGACACAAUCGCAGUAGUUCUCCCAGUGCUACCUUAGCCGAUAUAGCGGAACGUAAGGUACCAAAACGUGGGAGCCAGGCAAACCCAACUAUUGACCCAAGACAUGAUUCAGAGCUGAUGCAUAUAAUGCUAUAAGUUCGGGGUGCCGAACUUCCAUGAAGGUGUUCGGACUUGAUUGCCGUAUUAUGGGUAAAACGAAGCCCUUGGCAUAUUUAAGGCAUAUCGCGGUGUGCGGAUGCUGCAUGACAAAAGAGUUUCAACAAGAAAUAAUAGUAGAUAAGUGUUGUAUAAAUCCACAUGUUGUAUUUGAGUAGUACGUCAAUGCGUGUGAGUACAUGUAAUGUGAUGGAGAAGAAAUAUGACUGUGGAACCUGCUUAGACCAGGGGGGAAGAAGAUGUGUGCGGAUCCGGAGUAUAGUCGGAUGGUCAUCGCGGGGAAUAUAUAAGGAUUCCCUUCUGCAUUCGGGCUGCUUCCAUAUCGCCAGUCCUGGUCUACGCAAAGUUGAACAUGCAAAUGAAAUGUAAGAAAUGCUUGUGUGCCGCAGAGCGGUUGAGCCACGGUAUGUGGCCUGUCCUGGCGCUCGCCGGAGUGUUUAAUUGAGCUCUGGACGAGCCGGACUAUCCUGCCGCAAAGUAGUUCAAAGUCCUUUGGCGGUGUCCGAGAAUCAGGCCGUCUACUCGAGGUUCGGUUGGAAGGUGCCACUUGUAGCUCCUGCUGUUAAGGCACCGGUAUACUCCUCGGUGCCAAGGGAAAGUUUGACCUUGCCAUUAACCAUGAUGACGCCGCACGGACCGGGCAUCUUGAGCUUACAGUAGGCAUAAUAUGGCACCGCGUUGAAUCGAGCGAAUGCGGUUCGUCCGAGCAGUGCCUGAUGAUCACUGCGAAAGGGGACGAUAUCGAAGAUUAACUCUUUGGCACGGUAAUUGUCUGGCAAUCCAAAGACUACCUCCAGGGCGAUGGAGCCAGUACAACUGGCCUCCACACCUGGUAUAAUACCUCUGAGGGUGGUUGUCGUGGGCUUGAUCACCGAAUGAUCGAUGCCCAUCUUGCGCACUAUGUCUUGGUAGAGCAGGUUUAGACUGCUACCUCCGUCCAUAAGGACUCGUGUGAGGUGGAACCCGUCAAUUAUUGGGUCGAGGACUAGUGCGGCUGGAUUGCACUGAGUGGUGUUAACCGGACGAUCCGUGUGGUUGAAGGCGAUCGGCCCCAGUUUAUAUUGUGGGACGACUGGUUCCGUUAAGUCGACAUCCCUGAGGGUGUGCGUUCGGUCCGGGUUGGGAGUGUAGGUGCCGUUUACCACAUUUACGUUCACCGUUUGGAUUUGCGGUGGAAAUUUCUUUUGCUCUCCUGUACUUGGCGAGCUGGGCUCCUCGUCUCCAUCGUCGCUUUGAGACCCCUUAUCUUUGUUUUUGGCACCUGACCUAUCGGCUUGUUUGAAGACCCAGCAUUUUCUGUUAGUAUGAUAGGCUGGUGUUCCCGGGGUGCCGUGAAUUUGGCAUGGGUGGUCGAGUAUGCGGUCUAGGCUGGACGGACCCAGAUUGUCAUUUUUGAGUGGCCCAUUCUGCUGACUGGACUUAGAUGUUGGGGAACGUAGUAAUUUCAAAAAAUUUCCUACGCACACACAAGAUCAUGGUGAUGCAUAGCAACGAGGGGGAGAGUCUGAUCUACGUACCCUUGUAGAUCGCAACGGAAGCGUUGACACAACAUAGAGGAAGUAGUCGUACGUCUUCUUCCCGAUCCGACCGAUCCAAGCACCUUUACUCCGGCACCUUCGAGUUCUUAGCACACGUACAGCUCGAUGACGAUCCCCGGGCUCCGAUCCAGCAAAGCUUCGGGGAGGAGUUCUGUCAGCACGACGGCGUGGUGACGAUCUUGAUGUUCUACCGAUGCAGGGCUUCGCCUAAGCACUACAACGAUAUGAUCGAGGUGGAAUAUGGUGGCAGGGGGCACCGCACACGGCUAAGGAACGAUCACAAUGAUCAACUUGUGUGUCUAGAGGUGCCCCUCCCCCUGUAUAUAAAGGAGCAAGGGGGGAGAGGUGCGGCCAGCCUUGGGGCGCGCCAGGAGGAGUCCUACUCCUACCGGGAGUAGGACUCCCCCCCCCCAAUCCUAGUUGGAAUAGGAAUCCUCAAGGGGGAAAGAGAGAGAGGGGGGUCGGCCACCUCUCCUAGUCCUAAUAGGAUUGGGGAGGGGGGAGGCGCGCGGCCACCUUGGACUGCUCCCUUCUCCUUUCCAGUAAGGCCCACUAUGGCCCAUAUGAUUCCCGGGGGGUUCCGGUAACCUCCCGGUACUCCGGUAAAAUCCCAAUUUCACCCGGAACACUUCCGAUGUCCAAACAUAGGCUUCCAAUAUAUAAAUCUUUAUGUCUCGACCAUUUCGAGACUCCUCGUCAUGUCCGUGAUCACAUCCGGGACUCCAAACAAUCUUCGGUACAUCAAAAUGCAUAAAACUCAUAAUAACUGUCAUCGUAACGUUAAGCGUGCAGACCCUACGGUUCGAGAACAAUGUAGACAUGACUGAGACACAUCUCCUGUCAAUAACCAAUAGCGGGACCUCGAUGCCCAUAUUGGUUCCUACAUAUUCUUUGAAGAUCUUUAUCGGUCAGACCGCAUAACAACAUACGUUGUUCCCUUUGUCAUCGGUAUGUUACUUGCCUGAGAUUCGAUCGUCAGUAUCCAAUACCUAGUUCAAUCUCGUUACCGGCAAGUCUCUUUACUCAUUUCGUAAUACAUCAUCCCGCAACUAACUCAUUAGUUGCAAUGCUUAAGUGAUGUGCAUUACUGAGAGGGCCCAGAGAUACCUCUCCGACAAUCGGAGUGACAAAUCCUAUUCUCGAAAUACGCCAACCCAACAUCUACCAUUGGAGACACCUGUAGUACUCCUUUAUAAUCACCCAGUUACGUUGUGACGUUUGGUAGCACCCAAAGUGUUCCUCCGGCAAACGGGAGUUGCAUAAUCUCAUAGUUAUAGGAACAUGUAUAAGUCAUGAAGAAAGCAAUAGCAACAUACUAAUGAUGUGACCUCGUUAAUCAAAUAACAACUCUUUGCUCAUGGUUAGGAAACAUAACCAUCUUUGAUUAACGAGCUAGUCUAGUAGAGGCAUACUAGUGACACUCUGUUUGUCUAUGUAUUCACACAUGUAUUAUGUUUCUGGUUAAUACAAUUCUAGCAUGAAUAAUAAACAUUUAUCAUGAUAUAAGGAAAUAAAUAAUAACUUUAUUAUUGCCUCUAGGGCAUAUUUCCUUCAGUCUCCCACUUGCACUAGAGUCAAUAAUCUAGAUUACACAGCAAUGAUUCUAACACCCAUGGAGCCUUGGUGCUGAUCAUGUUUUGCACGUGGAAGAGGCUUAGUCAACGGGUCUGCAACAUUCAGAUCCGUAUGUAUCUUGCAAAUCUCUAUGUCUCCCACCUGGACUAGAUCCCGGAUGGAAUUAAAGCGUCUCUUGAUGUGCUUGGUUCUUUUGUGAAAUCUGGAUUCCUUUGCCAAGGCAAUUGCACCAGUAUUGUCACAAAAGAUUUUCAUUGGACCCGAUGGACUAGGUAUGACACCUAGAUCGGAUAUGAACUCCUUCAUCCAGACUCCUUCGUUCGCUGCUUCUGAAGCAGCUAUGUACUCAGAUUCACAUGUAGAUCCCGCUACGACACUUUGUUUAGAACUGCACCAACUGACAGCUCCACCGUUUAAUGUAAACACGUAUCCGGUUUGCGAUUUAGAAUCGUCCGGAUCAGUGUAAAAGCUUGCAUCAACGUAACCUCUUAAGGUGAGCUCUUUGUCACCUCCAUAUACGAGAAACAUAUCCUUAGUCCUUUUCAGGUAUUUCAGGAUGUUCUUGACUGCUGUCCAGUGAUCCACUCCUGGAUUACUUUGGUACCUCCCUGCUAAACUUAUAGCAAGGCACACAUCAGGUCUGGUACACAGCAUUGCAUACAUGAUAGAGCCUAUGGCUAAAGCAUAGGGAACAUCUUUCAUUUUCUCUCUAUCUUCUGCAGUGGUCGGGCAUUGAGUCUGACUCAACUUCACACCUUGUAACACAGGCAAGAACCCUUUCUUUGCUUGAUCCAUUUUGAACUUCUUCAAAAUCUUGUCAAGGUAUGUGCUUUGUGAAAGUCCAAUUAAGCGUCUUGAUCUAUCUCUAUAGAUCUUUAUGCCUAAUAUGUAAGCGGCUUCACCGAGGUCUUUCAUUGAAAAACUCUUAUUCAAGUAUCCCUUUAUGCUAUCCAGAAAUUCUAUAUCAUUUCCAAUCAGUAAUAUGCCAUCCACAUAUAAUAUCAGAAAUGCUACAGAGCUCCCACUCACUUUCUUGUAAAUACAGGCUUCUCCGAAAGUCUGUAUAAAACCAAAUGCUUUGAUCACACUAUCAAAGCGUUUAUUCCAACACCGAGAGGCUUGCACCAGUCCAUAAAUGGAUCGCUGGAGCUUGCACACUUUGUUAGCUCCUUUUGGAUUGACAAAACCUUCCGGUUGCAUCAUAUACAACUCUUCUUCCAGAAAUCCAUUCAGGAAUGCAGUUUUGACAUCCAUCUGCCAAAUUUCAUAAUCAUAAAAUGCGGCAAUUGCUAACAUGAUUCUGACAGACUUAAGCAUCGCUACGGGUGAGAAGGUCUCAUCAUAGUCAACCCCUUGAACUUGUCGAAAACCUUUUGCGACAAGUCGAGCUUUAUAGACAGUAAUAUUACCGUCGGUGUCAGUCUUUUUCUUGAAAAUCCAUUUAUUCUCAAUUGCUUGCCGAUCAUCGGGCAAGUCAACCAAAGUCCACACUUUGUUCUCAUACAUGCAUCCCAGCUCAGAUUUCAUGGCUUCUAGCCACUUUGCGGAAUCUGGGCUCACCAUCGCUUCUUCAUAGUUCGUAGGUUCAUCAUGAUCUAGUAGCAUGAUUUCCAGAACUGGAUUACCGUACCACUCUGGUGCGGAUCUCACUCUGGUUGAUCUAUGAGGUUCAGUAGCAUCUUGUUCUGAAGUUUCAUGAUCAUGAUCAUUAACUUCCUCACUUAUUGGUGUAGGUAUCGCAGAAACAGUUUUCUGUGAUGUACUACUUUCCAACAAGGGAGCAGGUACAGUUACCUCGUCAAGUUCUACUUUCCUCCCACUCAGUUCUUUCGAGAGAAACUCCUUCUCUAGAAAUGAUCCAUUCUUAGCAAUGAAUGUCUUGCCUUCGGAUCUGUGAUAGAAGGUGUACCCAAUAGUCUCCUUUGGGUAUCCUAUGAAGACACAUUUCUCCGAUUUGGGUUCGAGCUUAUCAGGUUGAAGCUUUUUCACAUAAGCAUCGCAGCCCCAAACUUUAAGAAACGACAACUUUGGUUUCUUGCCAAACCACAGUUCAUAAGGCGUCAUCUCAAUGGAUUUUGAUGGUGCCCUAUUUAACGUGAAUGCGGCCGUCUCUAGAGCGUAUCCCCAAAACGAUAGCGGUAAAUCAGUAAGAGACAUCAUAGAUCGCACCAUAUCUAGUAAAGUACGAUUACGACAUUCGGACACACCAUUACGCUGUGGUGUUCCGGGUGGCGUGAGUUGCGAAACUAUUCCACAAUUUUUCAAAUGUACACCAAACUCGUAACUCAAAUAUUCUCCUCCACGAUUAGAUCGUAGAAACUUUAUUUUCUUGUUACGAUGAUUUUCAACUUCACUCUGAAAUUCUUUGAACUUUUCAAAUGUUUCAGACUUAUGUUCCAUUAAGUAGAUAUACCCAUAUCUGCUUAAAUCAUCUGUGAAAGUGAGAAAAUAACGAUAUCCGCCACGAGCCUCAAUAUUCAUCGGACCACAUACAUCGGUAUGUAUGAUUUCCAACAAAUCUGUUGCUCUCUCCAUAGUACCGGAGAACGGUGUUUUAGUCAUCUUGCCCAUGAGGCACGGUUCGCAAGUACCAAGUGAUUCAUAAUCAAGAGGUUCCAAAAGCCCAUUAGUAUGGAGUUUCUUCAUGCGCUUUAUACCGAUAUGACCUAAACGGCAGUGCCACAAAUAAGUUGCACUAUCAUUAUCAACUCUGCAUCUUUUGGCUUCAACAUUAUGAAUAUGUGUGUUACUACUAUCGAGAUUCAUCAAAAAUAGACCACUCUUAAAAGGUGCAUGACCAUAAAAGAUAUUACUCAUAUAAAUAGAACAACCAUUAUUCUCUGAUUUAAAUGAAUAACCGUCUCGCAGCAAACAAGAUCCAGAUAUAAUGUUCAUGCUUAACGCUGGCACCAAAUAACAAUUAUUUAGGUCUAAUAUUAAUCCCGAAGGUAGAUGUAGAGGUAGCGUGCCGACCGCGAUCACAUCGACUUUGGAACCGUUUCCCACGCGCAUCGUCACCUCGUCCUUCGCCAGUGUUCGCUUAAUCCGUAGUCCCUGUUUCGAGUUGCAAAUAUUAGCAACAGAACCAGUAUCAAAUACCCAGGUGCUACUGCGAGCUCUAUUAAGGUACACAUCAAUAACAUGUAUAUCACAUAUACCUUUGUUCACCUUGCCAUCCUUCUUAUCCGCCAAAUACUUGGGGCAGUUCCGCUUCCAGUGACCAGUCUGCUUGCAAGAGAAGCACUCAGUUUCAGGCUUAGGUCCAGACUUGGGUUUCUUCUCCUGAGCAGCAACUUGCUUGCCGUUCUUCUUGAAGUUCCCCUUCUUCUUCCCUUUGCCCUUUUUCUUGAAACUAGUGGUCUUGUUAACCAUCAACACUUGAUGCUCCUUCUUGAUUUCUACCUCCACACCUUUCAGCAUUGCGAAGAGCUCGGGAAUAGUCUUGUUCAUCCCUUGCAUAUUAUAGUUCAUCACAAAGCUCUUGUAGCUUGGUGGUAGUGAUUGGAGAAUUCUGUCAAUGACGCAAUCAUCUGGAAGAUUAACUCCCAUCUGAAUCAAGUGAUUGUUAUACCCAGACAUUUUGAGUAUAUGCUCACUGACAGAACUGUUCUCCUCCAUCUUGCAGCUAUAGAACUUAUUGGAGACUUCAUAUCUCUCAAUCCGGGCAUUUGCUUGAAAUAUUAACUUCAACUCCUGGAACAUCUCAUAUGCUCCAUGACGUUCAAAACGUCGUUGAAGUCCUGAUUCUAAGCCGUAAAGCAUGGCACACUGAACUAUCGAGUAGUCAUCAGCUUUACUCUGCCAGACGUUCAUAACAUCUGGUCUUGCUCCAGCAGCAGGCCUGGCACCCAGCGGUGCUUCCAGGACGUAAUUCUUCUGUGCAGCAAUGAGGAUAAUCCUCAAGUUACGGACCCAGUCCGUGUAAUUGCUACCAUCAUCUUUCAACUUUGCUUUCUCAAGGAACGCAUUAAAAUUCAAUGAAACAACAGCACGAGCCAUCUAUCUACAAUCAACAUAAACAAGCAAGAUAGUAUCAGGUACUAAGUUCAUGAUAAGAUUAAGUUCAAUUAAUCAGAUUACUUAAGAAUUCCCACUUAGAUAGACAUCCCUCUAAUCCUCUAAGUGAUUACGUGAUCCAAAUCAACUAAACCAUAACCGAUCAUCACGUGGGAUGGAGUAGUUUUCAAUGGUGAACAUCGUUAUGUUGAUCAUAUCUACUAUAUGAUUCACGCUCGACCUUUCGGUCUACGUGUUCCGAGGCCAUAUCUGCAUAUGCUAGGCUCGUCAAGUUUAACCUGAGUAUUCUGCGUGUGCAAAACUGGCUUGCACCCGUUGUAGAUGGACGUAGAGCUUAUCACACCCGAUCAUCACGUGGUGUCUGGGCACGACGAACUUUGGCAAUCGUGCAUACUCAGGGAGAACACUUCUUGAUAAUUUAGUGAGAGAUCAUCUUAUAAUGCUACCGUCAAUCGAAGCAAGAUAAGAUGCAUAAAAAGAUAAACAUCACAUGCAAUCAAUAUAAGUGAUAUGAUAUGGCCAUCAUCAUCUUGUGCUUGUGAUCUCCAUCUCCGAAGCACCGUCAUGAUCACCAUCGUCACCGGCGCGACACCUUGAUCUCCAUCGUAGCAUCGUUGUCGUCUCGCCAAUCUUAUGCUUCCACGACUAUCACUACCGCUUAGUAAUAAAGUAAAGCAUUACAUCGCGAUUGCAUUGCAUACAAUAAAGCGACAACCAUAUGGCUCCUGCCAGUUGCCGAUAACUCGGUUACAAAACAUGAUCAUCUCAUAUAAUAAAAUUUAGCAUCAUGCCUUGACCAUAUCACAUCACAACAUGCCCUGCAAAAACAAGUUAGACGUCCUCUACUUUGUUGUUGCAAUUUUUACGUGGCUGCUACGGGCUUUAAGCAAGAACCAAUCUCACCUACGCAUCAAAACCACAACGAUAGUUUGUCAAAUAGACUCCGUUUUAACCUUCUCAAGGACCGGGCGUUGCCACACUCGGUUCAACUAAAAUUGGAGAGACAGUCGCCCGCAAGCCAUCUAUGUGCAAAGCACGUCGAGGGAACCGGUCUCGCGUAAGCGUACGCGUAAUGUUGGUCCGGGUCGUCUCGUCCAACAAUACCGCUGAACCAAAGUAUGACAUGCUGGUAGGCAGUAUGACUUAUAUCGCCCACAACUCACUUGUGUUCUACUCGUGCAAAUAACAUCAAACCAUAAAACCUAGGCUCUGAUACCACUGUUGGGGAUCAUAGUAAUUUCAAAAAAAUUCCUACGCACACACAAGAUCAUGGUGAUGCAUAGCAACGAGGGGGAGAGUCUGAUCUACGUACCCUUGUAGAUCGCAACGGAAGCGUUGACACAACGUAGAGGAAGUAGUCGUACGUCUUCUUCCCGAUCCGACCGAUCCAAGCACCGUUACUCCGGCACCUCCGAGUUCUUAGCACACGUACAGCUCUAUGACGAUCCCCGGGCUCCGAUCCAGCAAAGCUUCGGGGAGGAGUUCCGUCAGCACGACGGCGUGGUGACGAUCUUGAUGUUCUACCGACACAGGGCUUCGCCUAAGCACUACAACGAUAUGAUCGAGGUGGAAUAUGGUGGCAGGGGGCACCGCACACGGCUAAGGAAUGAUCACAAUGAUCAACUUGUGUGUCUAGAGGUGCCCCUGCCCCUGUAUAUAAAGGAGCAAGGGAGGAGAGGUGCGGCCAGCCUUGGGGCGCGCCAGGAGGAGUCCUACUCCUACCGGGAGNNNNNNNNNNNNNNNNNNNNNNNNNNNNNNNNNNNNNNNNNNNNNNNNNNNNNNNNNNNNNNNNNNNNNNNNNNNNNNNNNNNNNNNNNNNNNNNNNNNNNNNNNNNNNNNNNNNNNNNNNNNNNNNNNNNNNNNNNNNNNNNNNNNNNNNNNNNNNNNNNNNNNNNNNNNNNNNNNNNNNNNNNNNNNNNNNNNNNNNNNNNNNGCCGGCCACCUCUCCUAGUCCUAAUAGGACUAGGGGAGGGGGGAGGCGCGCGGCCACCUUGGGCUGCUCCCUUCUCCUUUCCACUAAGGCCCACUAUGGCCCAUAUGAUUCCCGGGGAGUUCCGGUAACCUCCCGGUACUCCGGUAAAAUCCCGAUUUCACCCGGAACACUUCCGAUGUCCAAACAUAGGCUUCCAAUAUAUCAAUCUUUAUGUCUCGACCAUUUCGAGACUCCUCGUCAUGUCCGUGAUCACAUCCGGGACUCCGAACAAUCUUCGGUACAUCAAAAUGCAUAAACUCAUAAUAACUGUCAUCGUAACGUUAAGCGUGCGGACCCUACGGUUCGAGAACAAUGUAGACAUGACUGAGACACAUCUCCGGUCAAUAACCAAUAGUGGGACCUGGAUGCCCAUAUUGGUUCCUACAUAUUCUUCGAAGAUCUUUAUCAGUCAGACCGCAUAACAACAUACGUUGUUCCCUUUGUCAUCCGUAUGUUACUUGCCCGAGAUUCGAUCGUCGGUAUCCAAUACCUAGUUCAAUCUCGUUACCGGAAAGUCUCUUUACUUGUUUCGUAAUACAUCAUCCCACAACUAAAUCAUUAGUUGCAAUGCUUGCAAGGCUUAAGUGAUGUGCAUUACCGAGAGGGCCCAGAGAUACCUCUCUGACAAUCGGAGUGACAAAUCCUAUUCUCGAAAUACGCCAACCCAACAUCUACCAUUGGAGACACAUGUAGUACUCCUUUAUAAUCACCCAGUUACGUUGUGACCACAAUUACAUGAAUAAACAUUACAUCAAUCAAAUACACUCAUGGUCUGACUACGGAACCAAAAUAAAAGAAGAACCCCAAAUGCGACAAAGGCCCCCGAUCAACCCCAACUGGGCUCCACUACUGAUCAACUAGAACGGAAACAACACAAAGGUUCAAUGAGCUCCUCCUGAGCUUGGUUGCGUCAUCUGCACAGACUCAUCGGCACCUGCAAGCUGGUUUUGGAAGUAUCUGUGAGCCACGGGGACUCAGCAAUCUCACACCCUCGCGAUCAAGACUAUUUAAGCUUAUGGGUAAGGUAAAGGUAUGAGGUGGAGCUGCAGCAAGCGACUAGCAUAUAUGGUGGCUAACAUACGCAAAUGAGAGCGAGAAGAGAAGGCAAAGCACGGUCGAUAAAAGUAUGAUCAAGAAGUGAUCCUGGACUACCUACGUCAAGCAUAACUCCAACAACCGUGUUCACUUCCCGGACUCCGCCGGAAAGAGACCAUCACGGUUACACACGCGGUUGAUUCAUUUUAAUUAAGGUCGACUUCAGGUUUUCUACAACCGGACGUUAACAAAUUCCCAUCUGCCCAUAACCGCAGGCACGGCUUUCGAAAGUUCAAAUCCCUGCAGGGUGUCCCAACUUAGCCCAUGACAAGCUCUCACGGUCAACGAAGGAAUAUACCUCCACCCGAGACGUUCCGAUCAGACUCGGUAUCCCGGUACAACAAGACAUUUCGACAGGGUAAAACUAAACUAGCAACACCGCCCGAUGCGCCGACAUCCUGAUAGGAGCUGCACAUAUCUCGUUCUCAGGGCAACAACGGAUAAGCAGUCCGUACAACUAAAACCAGCCCUCGAGUUUCCCCGAGGUGGCGCUGCAAGGGGCUCUAGUUUGGACCAACGCUUAGACAAGCACUGGCCCGGGGGGGUUAAAAUAAAGAUGACCCUCAGGAUGCGCGACUCCCAAGGGAAAAAAGCUAGGUGGCAAAUGGUAAAACCAAUGUUGGGCAUUGCUGGAAAAGCUUUACUUAAGGUGAACUGUCAAGGGGUUCCCAUUAUAGCCCAACCGCGUAAGGGACGCAAAAUCCGGGAACAUAACACCGAUAUGACGGAAACUAGGGCGGCAAGAGUGGAACAAAACACCAGGCAUAAGGCCGAGCCUUCCACCCUUUACCAAGUAUAUAGAUGCAUUAAUUAAAUAAGAUAUAUUGUGAUAUCCCAACAAGUAACCAAUGUUCCAACAAGGAACGAACUUCAAUCUUCACCUGCAACUAACAACGCUAUAAGAGGGGCUGAGCAAAGCGGUAACAUAGCCAAUCAACGGUUUGCUAGGACAUGGUGGGUUAGAGGUUUGACGUGGCAAUUGGGAGGCUGACAAGCAAAUGGUAGGCAUCGUAGCAUUGGCAUAGCAAAAGAGCGAGCAAACUAGCAUAGCAAAGAUAGUAGUGAUUUCGAGGGUAUGAUCAUCUUGCCUGAAAUCCCGCAAGGAAGAAGAACGAGUCCAUGAAGAAGACAAACGGACGUAGUUGAACGGAUCCUCACAAACUCGACGUUACCGGAACCAACCCGAAGAAGCAAUCACCGGAAAAGAAGCACACAACAUAGUAAACAACCAACACAUCAACAUGGCAUGAUGCACAAUCAAGUAUGAUGCAUGUCCGGUUUAAAGAGGCAUGGCAUGGCAAAAUGCACAAACAAUCCUACAAAUUAAGUGGAGCUCAAUAUGCAACGAGUUGCAUAUUGACGAAACACCACAUGACUUAUUUAGUUCGAUCUCGUUUAUGUACCCAACAAUAUUAAAUGUUGAUUAACAUGGCAAGAGGUGAACCACAACAAAACUACCUAUCUAGGCAAGUUUAAAUGAGGCCGGAAGCAACGAACAACAAUUCUGGAAAAUCCUCAUAUGCAUAAUUUAAGGUUUGGUACUGUUCUUCCCUAAACAUAAUUUUAGAGUUGUUUAACAUGUAAAGUAAGGUCACCAUGAUAAACUAGGCAAAAUUCUACCCCAUUUACAUAUAAAGAUUAUUUAAAUCGGAGCUACGGUUAUUUAGUUAUGAAUUAAAUCAUAUUAGCAUGGCAUAGGAGCAAAUUAAUGCAAACAACAUUUUAAACAUUUUAAACAUGGAUGAAAGUUGGAUAUUAUUAAUCUACACAAAAUUCUAAGCAAGUUUCAUAUAUAAAUCAUUUUAAUCCGAUGCACGGUUGUGAAGUUAUUAUAUGCAUGAAAAAUAGGGACUAUACUGCAAAACUGGCUGUCUCAGGAUAAUUGGAAAAAAAACGCAGGCGCUGAAAAAAAUACAUCACGGGCCGAAUCUGAGGCAAGCCCACAGCAGGAAGGAAAAAAACAAUAGAGGCGGCGCUGGUGGUUGCUCACCCAUGGGCCUGGCCCAGUCGGAGGGGAAGAGGCAGGCCGGAAGGGCGGCUGGGGAUGGGCCUGGCGCUGCGGAUCUGGCCCGGCUGGAGUUGGCCUGGAAGACCAAGGCGGCGCUGGGCCUUGGCGCAUCGGCCCAUGCGGGGAUGAGGCAGAAGCAGGCCGAGGCGGGGCGCGGAUCUGGAGCUGGGCUGGACUCGGGGCCCGCGAAGAAGUCAACGGAGGCGCUCGGCUCCUCCCGAUCGGAUCGGGGAAGGCAGGGCGAGGCGUAGAACCAUGGCGACGGCGGCGGGCCCCCGGCAAGGGUCGACGGCGGCGACAGCGCCGGAGAGCGAGGUCCGGUGAGGCGGCAGGAAACGGGCGGAUCCGGCGGGGCUCGGCUCCCCGGGGCCGGAUCAGGCACAACGGAGGCGCUGGGAGUAGCGGCUCCUGCCUGGACGAGGCUUGGCGAGCUCCGGCGAAGUCCGGGUGGCCGGUGAAGAAUAGGCGGCGGGCGGCGGACGGCGUCGGGGAGGACGAAGGCGGCUCCUCCCGGGCGGCGGCACGAGGAGCUGGACCCGCGCGGGCCGGUUGCGGGCUCUCUAGGCCCGGCGGCGAAGUGGGGAGGCUGGGCGCUGACAUGGCGCGCGGUGAGUGGAGGGAAGCGGCGGCGGGGCGACGUGUCACGCUCUCAUUGGGCGGAGUGAGGUGGCGCGCGGGGCGGACAUGUCCGGUGCAGCGCGGACGCGUCCGGAUGCGCGGUGGAGGAAGAAGACUAGGGUUUCAUCCGAAAUUUCGGGGAGGGGUGCUCUUUUAUAGGUAGAGGGAGCUAGGAGAGUCCAAAUGAGGUGCGGUCUGCGGCCAUGCGAUCGUGAUCGAACGACCGAGAUGAUGGAGCAGAGUUAGGUGGGUUUUGGACCAAAAAGGAAGGGUGUUGGGCUGCAACACACACGAGGCCUUCUUGGUCCCUCGGUUAACCGUUGGAGUAUCAAACGAAGUCCAAAUGGUACGAAACUUGACAGGCGGUCUACCGGUAGUAAACCAAGGCCGCUUGGCAAGUCUCGGUCCAAUCCGGAAAUGUUUAAUCCCCACACAAGAAAGAAAGAUAGAAAUGACCACCGGAGGAGAACGGAACGCCGGAAUGCAAAACGGACAACGGGGAAAAUGCUCGAAUGCAUGAGAUGAACACGUAUGCAAAUGAAAUGCGCAUGAUGACAUGAUAUGCAAUGCAUGACACGCAAGCAAAGACAAGGCAACAACAGCGAAUAACUGAAUGACAGCUGGCACAUCGGUCUCGGAGCGUUACAACACUCCACCACUACGAGAGGAUCUCGUCCCGAGAUCUAGAAUGGCACCGGAGGGAAAAACGGAAGAGAAAGAGAAGAGGUAAAACAAAUUGCUUCUUUGACAAACGAGUGAAACCACGAACCUUGAGAGGUUGAACAAAUUGAAAGAAAGAAUACAACGAAGAUGAACAAAAUUGAAAACACCCCGUUAGAAACGAGGGACAAAGAGCAUUGCGAAACCUUGAGGUUGAAGGGAAGAUAUAUAUAGAAAAACACUCCGGUUAAGGAAGGGGGUCAAGGGAAACCCAAAAUUCGGGCAGCACUCCAGUUGAAAAGAAAAGGAAUUGAAUAAGGUCUUGAUAAGAUGAGAAGAUACUUGAUGAAAUCACAACACACUGCCACCGGAACUAUUGAAUGAAUGGAACAAGGGGUAAGAAAGAUCUCAGAUAGCACUCCGGUUGAGAAGGGAGUCAAAAUUUGAUAAGAUGAGAGAGCUCAAAUGAAAACACGACACUCCAGUUGAGAAAGGGAUGCAAGACUUGAUAAGGCGAAAAGAACUUGAACAAAGGGGCACAAUACUCCGGUUAAGCAAGAUAGGGAAGGAAUAAGAGUGAUAUAAUUUGGACAGCACUCCGCCUGUAAAUGGAAGGAAUUGAACAAGACAAGAUGAGAGGAUACUUGAAAAGAGGACACAACACUCCAAUUAAAAGGAUAGGCACGACAAGAACACGAUCCUGAUAAAACAAGAAGAUGGGUUGAAGAGAGAAACAUCACCAUGCCUCCGGAACAAAAGAGUAGAGUAAAGAUAAUUGAGACAAGCGAAUGUAGAAGACAAUGCCAACUUCUGCUACAAAAGA
This 15908-nucleotide long non-coding RNA is filed under the name Triticum aestivum (bread wheat). RNAcentral describes it as "long non-coding RNA (TAES_LNC009759)". Lineage: Eukaryota; Viridiplantae; Streptophyta; Magnoliopsida; Poales; Poaceae. The record is from RNAcentral.